RNAcentral lists this ribosomal RNA (1248 nucleotides) under metagenome. Its description in RNAcentral is "SSU rRNA". It matches the Rfam family "Eukaryotic small subunit ribosomal RNA", at positions 542 to 1783 of the family's 1831-position model. The record is from RNAcentral.
UAUCCAUUGGAGGGCAAGUCUGGUGCCAGCAGCUGCGGUAAUACCAGCUCCAAUAGCGUAUAUUAAAGUUGUUGCAGUUAAAAAGCUCGUAGUUGGACUUGUGUGCGCUGUCCGCGGGUGGCCUGCGCCCAAAAGGGCGUUUCGGUUCGGCCCCGGUGGCGCCUUGAAAUCUGCAGCUGGGGGGACGUUGGCCUUAACUGGUCGGCGACCGCACGCCGGCUGCUCGGUUACUGUGAGAAAAUUAGAGUGUCCAAGGCAGGCAUUGGGUGCAAUUGAAUACAUUAGCAUGGAAUAAUAAAAUAUGGCUCCUGCCGUAUUUUGUUGGUUUUGACUGGUGGGAGUAAUGAUUGAUAGGGACGGUUGGGGGUGCUAGUAUUGAGCGGCCAGAGGUGAAAUUCAUGGAUUCGCUCAAGACUAACUUAUGCGAAAGCAUUCACCAAGGACGUCCUCUUUAAUCAAGAACGAAAGUUGGGGGAUCGAAGACGAUCAGAUACCGUCGUAGUCUCAACCAUAAACUAUGUCGACUUGGGAUCGGCGGUAGUUUUUUCAUUAAGACACUGUCGGGACCACGGGAGAAAUCAAAGUGUCUGGACUCUGGGGGAAGUAUGGUCGCAAGGCUGAAACUUGAAGGAAUUGACGGAAGGGCACCACCAGGAGUGGAGCCUGCGGCUUAAUUUGACACAACACGGGGAAACUUACCAGGUCCAGAGAUGUAGAGGAUUGACAGAUUGAAGCUCUUUCUUGAUCACUUCGGUGGUGGUGCAUGGCCGUUCUUAGUUGGUGGAGUGAUUUGUCUGGUUAAUUCCGUUAACGAACGAGACCUCAGCCUGCUAGUGUAGUCGGCUGGAUUGCCUUUGGCGAUCCGUGAUUUCGACUUCUUAGAGGGACAAUCGACGCGCAGUCGAUGGAAGUUUGAGGCAAUAACAGGUCUGUGAUGCCCUUAGAUGUUCUGGGCCGCACGCGCGCUACACUGCUGGGCUCAGCGAGUUUUACUUGGCCGAGAGGCCCGGUUAAUCUUGUGAAAUCCCAGCGUGCUUGGGCUCGCCUCCUGCAACUGGAGGCGCCAACGAGGAAUUCCUAGUAGACGCAGGUCGUCAACCUGCAUCGAUUACGUCCCUGCCCUUUGUACACACCGCCCGUCGUUCCAUAAGAGUGAGGCAUCCGGUGAAUUCUCGGGAGAGCCUGGGCGUGGCCAGCAAUGGUCUGCUCGGGUUUGAACUUGCAUAAACUUGGUGCCUAUGAUUAGGG